Molecule: ribosomal RNA, 474 nt
Filed under: uncultured bacterium
Lineage: Bacteria
Description: SSU rRNA
Rfam family: Bacterial small subunit ribosomal RNA
Source: RNAcentral
AGGACGAACGCUGGCGGCGUGCUUAACACAUGCAAGUCGAGCGGAAAGGCCCUUCGGGGUACUCGAGCGGCGAACGGGUGAGUAACACGUGAGCAACCUGCCCUUAGCUUCGGGAUAGCUCCGGGAAACCGGAAUUAAUACCGAAUAUGACUUUGGCUGACAUCAGCAGAAGUGGAAAGUUUUUCGGCUAGGGAUGGACUCGCGGCCUAUCAGCUAGUUGGUGAGGUAACGGCCCACCAAGGCGACGACGGGUAGCCGGCCUGAGAGGGCGACGGGCCACGACCUGGGACUGAGACACGGCCCAGACUCCUACGGGAGGCAGCAGUGGGGAAUAUUGCGCAAUGGGCGAAAGCCUGACGCAGCGACGCCGCGUGGGGGAUGAAUGCCUUCGGUUGUAAACCCUUUCAGCAGGGACGAAGCGAAAGUGACGGUACCUGCAGAAGAAGCGCCGGCUAACUACGUGCCAGCAGCCGC